GGCUCCGGCCGAUCCCUCCCACCCUUUGUGUACCUACCUCUGUUGCUUUGGCGGGCCGCGGUCCUCCGCGGCCGCCCCCCUCCCCGGGGGGUGGCCAGCGCCCGCCAGAGGACCAUCAAACUCCAGUCAGUAAACGAUGCAGUCUGAAAAACAUUUAAUAAACUAAAACUUUCAACAACGGAUCUCUUGGUUCUGGCAUCGAUGAAGAACGCAGCGAAAUGCGAUAAGUAAUGUGAAUUGCAGAAUUCAGUGAAUCAUCGAAUCUUUGAACGCACAUUGCGCCCUUUGGUAUUCCGAAGGGCAUGCCUGUUCGAGCGUCAUUACAACCCUCAAGCUCUGCUUGGUAUUGGGCACCGUCCUUUGCGGGCGCGCCUCAAAGACCUCGGCGGUGGCGUCUUGCCUCAAGCGUAGUAGAACAUACAUCUCGCUUCGGAGCGCAGGGCGUCGCCCGCCGGACGAACCUUCUGAACUUUUCUCAAGGUUGACCUCGGAUCAGGUAGGGAUACCCGCUGAACUUAAGCAUAUCAAUAGGCGGGAGGAA
RNAcentral lists this ribosomal RNA (541 nucleotides) under Botryosphaeria dothidea. Its description in RNAcentral is "eukaryotic LSU rRNA". The stretch from base 167 to 320 matches the Rfam family "5.8S ribosomal RNA". Lineage: Eukaryota; Fungi; Ascomycota; Dothideomycetes; Botryosphaeriales; Botryosphaeriaceae. The record is from RNAcentral.